UCCAGUUUUUCACUACCUCCCAAAUGAAUGAUCUCUGAGUAUGAGCAUGAGUUCUGAAGUACUUGGAAGCUUGCAUGCUCUUGUGGAAUUAUUAUUGGUCUCAAUAAAUGUGGAUGUCUGAAGAAGAACUGUUAUUUGAGGUGCGGGGGGGGGGGAGUAAUUGUGAACCCUACAUUUCAGAAUGAAAUGUUAUUUAUUUUCUUUAACUUUACUAUGGUCUCAGUAUUGGUUAAGCAAAAUCAUCACCACCACCCCCAUCUUCACCAUGACCACCACCAGCAACAUCAUGAUCAUAAUCUUUUGGACUAAACUGUUUUAAAUAAAAUGCAUGUAGAAUCCUGAGUUGAAGCUGCAACAACCAAUUGGCAGUGGAACUCUCUGCCCCGGACUGUGGUGGAGGCUCCUUCUUUGGAGGCUUUUAAGUAGAGGCUGGAUGGUCAUCUGUCGGAGGUGCUUUGAAUGCAAUUUCCUGCUUCUUGGCAGGAGGGUUGGACUGGAUGGCCCAUGAGGUCUCUUCCAACUCUAUGAUUCUAUGAUCUUAAUUGCAGUCCUCAAUUAUUUGAGGGAAGGACACAAUGUCCAGCAUAGGCUACAGCUCAUUCAAGUGAAUGCUUUCUGCCUCUCUUAAUUCCACAUCUCCCUGCAUCACUGUUUUGAUAGAUGAAACAGGCAUUCGUGGACAAGGAAUCUAUUUUACAGCUCAAUUGUUUUUCAUUUCUAAAGGGACAUAUAGGGUGCCAUCUAAUAGGACUGGCAGGACUUACAUAAACUUAUGCUACAAAUAGUUCUGCUCCUGUACUAAUGUUAGAUCCGUCCUAGUCUUCUGAAAACAUCCCUGUUGGAACUGUAAACUAACAAUAUGUCACUGGUUUGUUAUAUGUUUUCCAGACUGUAUGGCCAUGUUCCAGAAGUAUUCUCUCCUGAUGUUUCGCCCACAUCUAUGGCAGGCAUCCUCAGAGGUUGUGACGUAUGGAGAAACUAAGCAGGAAAGUGUAUAUAUCUGUGGAAAGUCCAGGGACCAAAGACUGGAGACCUCGGUACACUCCUUCUAUACCUCGGAUGUCAUCCUCUUCCACCAAGUGUGCAGCUUCGGGAGGGACGCACAUGGGGCGGUGAAGAAGGAAGGGGACACCCGCCUGGCCAGCCAGAUCAGCCAAAUCAACCCUGGCAAUUAAUGGGGUGACAGAUGUCGCAGCCAGAUCACCCACACAUCCAACAAGAGAAAUAGACUAAUUAGCUCCUUCGAAGAAGGGGGAAAGUGAUGCCUGCAGGUAAGAAGGAAACAAAAGGUUGCUGGUUGAUUUACAUGCAAGUCAGGGCAAUAGUGGAAUACUGGCAGCUCCCCUCAGCAUGGUGACUUGCUGGCUUCCCAGGAGCCUUCACAGCUUGGUGUGACCCUGGUGGAAGUGGGAACCGCAAGCCAAUGAAUUUAAAUGCACUCUGCUAGUAGACUGCAGCUAUUUUGCUCAGGAUGGCCCAACAUAGUGUGGGGUGGACUAGAUCUUGCCCGGCAUUAGGGAAAAUGUCUUGAUUUUAGAUAUUAUAUUGUUCUGUUUUAUUAUACCACAGUAAUUAUUAUAUAUUCUAUUUAUAAUCUUCUAUUAUUUGCUUAGAACUGGAUUAUAUGAGGCCCCUUCUACACAGUUGUAUAAAAACCACACUGAACUGGGUUAUAUGGCAGUGUGGACUCAAGAUAAUCCAGUUCAAAGCAGAUACUGUGGAUUAUGUGCUUUGGCAUUCUGGGUUAUAUAGCUGUGUGGGAGGGACUUGAGCCUACAUUGCCAUAUAAUCCAGUUCAAAUCAGACAAUCUGUAUUUUAUAGGCAAUGUGGAUGAGGCCUAAGUGCACUAUGCCUGUGCCCUGGGUGCCAUUUUGGCUGAGGGAAUUACUAGGAUAUGAAGUGGGUGGGGCCUAAAGGGGCGGAGCCUACCUUUCUGAGCCAUUUCUAAAGGGGGAAAACAGCUCUUUCUUGUUCUCUAAUUGGGCUUUAUUUUUCUAGGUUUUUUUUUGUUUGAAAAACAUAGACUGGAUGACUAUGUCUUUUGUGUCCAAAUUGGGUGUGAUUUGGUUCAGUGGUUUUGUUGUUUACUCCAUAGUAAAAUGGCACAUUACAUUUAUAUACAGAUAGACUAGCUGUGCCCGGCCACGCGUUGCUGUGGCAAAAUAUGGUGGUAUGGGAAAUAAAGUAUUGAGGAAUUGGUGGUAGUUAAGGUAAAGGGUAAAGGUUUUCCCGUGACAUUAAGUCCAGCCAUGUUUGACUCUGGAGGUUGGUGCUCAUCUCCAUUUCUAAGCCUAAGAGCUGGCAUUGUCCGUAGACUGCUCCAAGGUCAUGGAGCGCUGUUACCUUCCAGCUGGAGCAGUACCUAUUCAUCUACUCUCAUUUGCAUGUUUUUGAACUUUAGGGUUGGUAGAAGCUGGGGCUAACAGUGGGGGCUCUCUCCGCUCCUCCAAUUCAAACCUGCAACCUAUAAUAAUAAUAAUAAUAAUAAUAAUAAUAAUAAUAAUAAUAAACUUUAUUUAUACCCCGCCACCAUCUCCUCAACGGGGACUUGGGGCGGCUUACAUGGGGCCAUGCCCAGAACAAUACAAUAUAACAAAAUAUAAUAGAACAACAAAUCAUAGCACAUUAAACAACACAAUAAAAGAAAAUAUACUACAUUAAACAAGAUCAAAAGAACAAUAAAACCAAGGGUGGGCCACAUGAACACCUUUCAGUCCAGAAGUUCAGCAGCUCAGCGCUUUAAUACGCUGCGCCAUCAGGGGAGAUUUCCUAAAGUUUGUGAAUAUACAAUAUUUCUGAUUUUUUUUUUGUCUGUUGGAGGCAAGUAUGAAUGCUGCAAUUAGACAAAAUGAUUACCAUGUAAUGGUCUUGCAGCUUUAAAGCCUGGCUGCUUUCUCCCUGAGUGAAUUUUUUGUUGGAAGGUGUUAGCUGGCCCUGAUUGUUUCCUGUCUAGAAUUCCCUUGUUUUCAUAGUGGUGUUCUUUGCGAUAUUUUAUGUGGUUCUACUGUCUGUGGCCCUCAGAAAACAGAGGAUUUGCCAGACUUUGGUGAUGGGAAUACUUUAUUGAGAGGUGUUAGCUGGCCCUGAUUGUUUCCUGUGUGAAAUUCCCCUGUUUUCAGAGUGUUGUUAUUUAUUUAAUGUUCUGAUUUUAGAGAUUGUAUUGUUCUGUUUUAUUAUACCACAUUAAUUUUUAUAUAUUCUGAUUUUAGUGUUUUUGAAUACUUGGAGCCAGAUUGUAUUCAUUUUCAUGGUUCACAGCAACACAACAACAACAACAACAACAAUAGUAAUGAUAGUAAUGAUAGUAAUAAUAAUGACUUUGGUAAUACACACUGCUUCACUCCCUUCUCAGCUUCCUUUCUGGAAGAAUCCUUUCUUGGGAGGUGUUAGCUGGCCCUGAUUGUUUCCUUUGUGGAAUUCCCAAUUUCCCUGCUUUCAGAGUGUUGCUCUUUAUUUCCUGUCCUGGUUUUAGAGAUUAUAUUGUUCUGUAUUAUUCUACCAUAGUAAUUAUUUCAUAUUACAGUAGAAUCUCACUUAUCCAAUGUUCUGGAUUAUCCAACGCAGUCUGCCUUUUAGUAGUCAAUGUUUUUGUAGUCAGUGUUUUAAAUUCAUUGUGAUAUUUUGGUGGUAAAUUUGUAAAUACAGUAAUUACUACAUAGCAUUACUGCACAUGGAACUACUUUUUCUGUCAAAUUUGUUGUAUAACAUGAUGUGUUGGUGUUUAAUUUGUAUAAUGAUUACCUAAUUUGAUGUUUAAUCAGUUUUUAAUGAAUCACUUCUGUAAUGAAGUAUGAAUUUUGGUUUACAGUUGUUAUGUUUAAUUAUAGGUAUAUGUUUGGAAUGGGUAAGUAUUAGAGUUAUCAGUGCGUGGGGGAUGGUAGCCAGCUCAGUAUUCUGAGGCAGGUUGCCAUAGAAACGUAGCUGCUUCUGUAGAAAUGUAACUAUUCUGAAGCUAGCAAGAAAGGGGCGGAGCUAGCUGGAUGAAAAAGGAAGGAAUGUUUUUAAAAGAGUUCAGUCUGUGAUCUGAGAGUCACAGGGAAUAGACUGGUUUCAGGUUUAGGGAAACCAGGGAAGUUCAAAAGUCAGUCUGUGCUCUGAUGAGGCACAGGGAAGAUGUAUUCUAGGUUGAUGGGAUCAAGGAGACUCAAUUGUUCAUUUUGAGUCGGUUUUAAAUAAGUUUGGUGACUUAUUUAAUGUAGUCUGUGUCCUGGAAAGGCACAGAGAAUCUGUGAUAGUAUAUCACAGGGGUGACUGUGGUUUGAAGUCACUGGAUAGUCCAUGUUUCAGACUUUGGGAACCAAUCCCAGAGAUCCAUUGAAGUAACAGUUACAAAGGAGCAGAGGAAUAGGUUUUAACUACUUUAAGUAAAAGAGUUUGAUUCAUCUCAUUCUAGUAUUGUAACUGUUAAUAAGAAUACCUCUAAGUGAAACAUCUUUUGUAACCACCAAAUCUGUGCCUGAAUAAACUUGUUAUUGUUCUUUCAACAUCCAAGCCUCUGUCGCAUAUAUUCUAAACCAAGUUACGCUACCAUCUAAAGUGAAUAAGAAGAAAGAAAGAAAAAAAAGUAAAAGGUCUCCUCCCUGAGUCUUUGGUGGUUGCAUCCUUACAAUUUGAUGGCAGUCGUUACAAAUCUUUACAAAUUGCUGGCAGCGGUGGGAUAAAAAGAUUUCCCCUGCCUGAAGGAGCCUUAGACAUUCGUAGUCCCUUACAAAUUAGUGGCAGUGGUGGGAUAAAAAGAUUCCCCUUGCCUGAAAGAACCUUAGUCGUUAUUAGCUCCUUACACCUUCUUAUUAUCCAACAUAUUUACUUAUCCAACAUUCUGCCGGCCUAUUUAUGUUGGAUAAGUGAGACUGUACUGUAUAUUUAUAAUCUUAUAUUAGCUGCUUAGUACU
RNAcentral lists this long non-coding RNA (4893 nucleotides) under Anolis carolinensis (green anole). Its description in RNAcentral is "lncRNA (ENSACAG00000039113.1)". The record is from RNAcentral. Lineage: Eukaryota; Metazoa; Chordata; Lepidosauria; Squamata; Anolidae.